This is an RNA transcript of Oncorhynchus keta (chum salmon), 3239 nucleotides long. It is a transcript of the gene named cytokine receptor-like factor 3, with no coding region annotated. NCBI's taxonomy places the organism in Eukaryota, Metazoa, Chordata, Actinopteri, Salmoniformes, Salmonidae. The transcript is spliced from 5 exons. The record is from RefSeq and is a predicted model, not a curated record.
CCGUGUGUGUGUGUGUGUGUGUGUGUGUGUGUGUGUGUUUCUCUGACUGUGUGUGUGUGUUCCAGAGUGGUGUCCAGGCAGUGAGGGCUACAUCCUCAGCAGUAGAAGGAACAUCGCCAUGCGGAGUGACUCGUCCCCCUCUAAAGCUGGGGUUCUCUACUCCAACGCUCCGACCUACUUCUGUGGACAGACGCUCACCUUCAAGAUCUCUGCCACGGGCCAGGUGGACAAGCGGGACAGUAUCGGGGUGUGUGUGGGGUGUGAGGGAGAGGCGGAGUCUCUGCAGAGGGACCAGGCCGUCUGCAUCUCCACCAACGGAGCAGUGUUUGUCAACGGUAAAGAGAUGACCAACCAGCUGCCUUCCAUCACCCUCGGCUCUGCUGUGACCUUCGAUAUGGAAGUGGUCAACCUACUUCCUAUUAGCAACAACAACAACCUUAGCGACGGAGGCAACUUCAAGCUGAGGGUUACGAUUGGCUCAGGGAACCGGGAAGUGGUGUUUGAUUGGCUGCUGGACCAGGGGGUGGACUGCCUGUUCUUUGGCUGCUCCUUAGCCCACCCUGGUUGGAAGGUGCUGGUGUUCUGAGGCUGCUGAUUGGACAGCAGACCUGUCAGUCAACACAAAGGGACAAGCAGGGUUUCAUCUGGUCCUUUCACCCUGGGAAAGGUUUCAUCUGGUCCUUUCACCCUGGGAAAGGUUUCAUCUGGUCCUUUCACCCUGGGAAAGGUUUCAUCUGGUCCUUUCACCCUGGGAAAGGUUUCAUCUGGUCCUUUCACCCUGGGAAAGGUUUCAUCUGGUCCUUUCACCCUGGGAAAGGUUUCAUCUGGUCCUUUCACCCUGGGAAAGGUUUCAUCUGGUCCUUUCACCCUGGGAAAGGUUUCCUCUGGUCCUUUCACCCUGGGAAAGGUUUCAUCUGGUCCUUUCACCCUGGGAAAGGUUUCAUCUGGUCCUUUCACCCUGGGAAAGGUUUCAUCUGGUCCUUUCACCCUGGGAAAGGUUUCAUCUGGUCCUUUCACCCUGGGAAAGGUUUCAUCUGGUCCUUUCACCCUGGGAAAGGUUUCCUCUGGUCCUUUCACCCUGGGAAAGGUUUCAUCUGGUCCUUUCACCCUGGGAAAGGUUUCCUCUGGUCCUUUCACCCUGGGAAAGGUUUCAUCUGGUCCUUUCACCCUGGGAAAGGUUUCAUCUGGUCCUUUCACCCUGGGAAAGGUUUCAUCUGGUCCUUUCACCCUGGGAAAGGUUUCAUCUGGUCCUUUCACCCUGGGAAAGGUUUCAUCUGGUCCUUUCACCCUGGGAAAGGUUUCCUCUGGUCCUUUCACCCUGGGAAAGGUUUCCUCUGGUCCUUUCACCCUGAGAAAGGUUUCAUCUGGUCCUUUCACCCUGGGAAAGGUUUCAUCUGAGGCAGCGAUCUGUGCUUCCUCCAGGUAUGACUGGUGAUUGGCUGAGAGGCGUCUGCUCCGGUAUCAGAGAAUCUCAGCUUUCUCCUCUUGGGCACCUGGAUGGACAAUGUACACAAAGCCCUUUCUGACCUGUCUGAUAAGAUAUCCUGCCAUCUGAUACAGACUGGUGUACCAGAACUGACCAAUCAUUAUUCCUUUUCAAGACACACUCAGGCUGUGCAUGAAAUGGCACCCUGUUCCCUACAUAGUGCUUAUGGGCCUUGGUCAAAAGUAGUGGACUAUGUAGGGAAUAGGGUGCCAUUCCUGUGCCCAAUUUCAGAUGCACAUUAUCUCCAAACGUCCUAAAAUGGUGUUUUUUUAAACUUAUGAAUGUGAGAAUAAUAAGGGGGUGGACUCGCUCAGAGAAGUGAUCAGAGAGCGAGACGUUACCUUUCAUCAAACACUUGAGCUGCAAAGCAUGCUGGUCUGGUUUACCACAGAAUAAAACACCAUCACUGUGUAAAACAACUCACUCCAGAGAUCGUAACCUCUUCUUCGUCGGUCUCUCUUCUCCCUGUCGACCCGUUUUCAGUUCUCUAGUGUGAGCAGAACUCAUGCGGUGUACAAAGUUCAGAUUCUCUAAUGUGUAUGUGUUCUGAAUCAGAUUCAGAUCAGAUUUCAUGCUCUUAAUGUGCUUUUUAAAAACAUUUUUUUUUUUGCCAACAGUAUUCACAACCAUGUAAUGUAACUUCACUUGUAGACAUUGAUGUACUUUCUUGUGAAUUUUGGGGGGAACUUGGAGAGGUGAAUUUAUAUUUUAAAACGGCAUCCCAUUUCCUCUAGAUCACUAUAGGGACUAGGGGGGCCGUUUUGGGUUGCUUCCUGUGGUUCUGCAGAGAUGGUAUGGUUGCUGUGGUUACAGAGCGCUCUUCAGCAGACUGACUGUUGAGUUCGAUGGUUCAAAUUUAAAUGAACCUGUAUUUAACAAGGCAAGUCAGGAAAGAACUAAAUUUACAUUUACAUUUAAGUCAUUUAGCAGACGCUCUUAUCCAGAGCAACUUACACAAUGACUGCCUACCCCCCUCUCCUAACCCGGACGAUGCUGGGCCAAACCCUAUGGGACUCCCGAUCAUGCCCGGUUGUGUGACAGCCUGGAAACGAACCAGGGUCUGUAGUGACGCCUCUAGCACUGCAAUACAGCGCCUCAGACCGCUGCGCCACUCGGGAGUGUGACAGUUUCACAUUUAAACAGGUUAACAGUGGUCAUACAUACUGUAAGACAGUGCGAGAUAAAAGCUAUAGCUUGGAUACAGUACAUAGCUGUAUAGUUACUCUGUGGCAGUGUUGCUCCAUGUCCAAAUCAUCUGAUAUCAGUGAAAGGCUGCCAAUGGCGGUAGGGUUGUGGGGUUGGAAAUGGAACCAGGCCACCUGUUAUAGGAGGGGUCGUCCUCAGCUGUCUGUCAUUAGUGGGGUCGUACUCAGCUGUCUUGUCAUCCACCACCCUCUUCAUGCAAACAUCCGUCUCCGAUUCCUUUAACUGUGUGUACGAGUCCCAAAUAGCACCCUAUCCCCUAUCUAGUGCACUACUUUUUGACCCGGAUCCAUAGGGCCGGUCAAAAGAAGUGCAUCAGAUAGGGUGCCAUUUGGAAUGCUGACUGUGACUUGUAAAAUCAGGGUUGGGGCUCAGUUCCAUUUCAAUUCGGGUGUUUAACUGAAAUUCCAAAUUGCCUUUAAAGUGGAAUGUGAGUCGACUUCCUAAAAUGGCAUUGACCCCCAGUCCUGCUUAUUAUUGACAUGUGUUUGUCUUCCUUCAGUACAGAACAAAUGGCCCAGAAACAUCCAAUAAAUUGCUUAGUCAUCUA